UAGGGAAUAUUGCACAAUGGGCGAAAGCCUGAUGCAGCAACGCCGCGUGCGCGAUGAAGGCCUUCGGGUCGUAAAGCGCUUUUCGGGGAGAUGAGGAAGGACAGUAUCCCCGGAAUAAGUCUCGGCUAACUACGUGCCAGCAGCCGCGGUAACACGCAGGAGGCAAGCGUUAUCCGAAUUUACUGGGCGUAAAGCGCGUGCAGGCGGUUCGGUAAGUUGGAUGUGAAAUCUCCCGGCUCAACUGGGAGAGGUCGUUAUAUACUGUCGGACUAGAGGAUGGUAGAGGGAGGUGGAAUUCUCGGUGUAGUGGUGAAAUACGUAGAUAUCGGGAGGAACACCAGUG
Molecule: ribosomal RNA, 343 nt
Filed under: uncultured bacterium
Lineage: Bacteria
Description: bacterial SSU rRNA
Rfam family: Bacterial small subunit ribosomal RNA
Source: RNAcentral